UUAUCUGAACCUUCGGGGAACGAUAACGGCGUCGAGCGGCGGACGGGUGAGUAAUGCCUGGGAAUAUGCCUUGAUGUGGGGGAUAACCAUUGGAAACGAUGGCUAAUACCGCAUAAUCUCUUCGGAGCAAAGAGGGGGACCUUCGGGCCUCUCGCGUCAAGAUUAGCCCAGGUGGGAUUAGCUAGUUGGUGAGGUAAUGGCUCACCAAGGCGACGAUCCCUAGCUGGUCUGAGAGGAUGAUCAGCCACACUGGAACUGAGACACGGUCCAGACUCCUACGGGAGGCAGCAGUGGGGAAUAUUGCACAAUGGGCGCAAGCCUGAUGCAGCCAUGCCGCGUGUGUGAAGAAGGCCUUCGGGUUGUAAAGCACUUUCAGUCGUGAGGAAGGUAGUGUAGUUAAUAGCUGCAUUAUUUGACGUUAGCGACAGAAGAAGCACCGGCUAACUCCGUGCCAGCAGCCGCGGUAAUACGGAGGGUGCGAGCGUUAAUCGGAAUUACUGGGCGUAAAGCGCAUGCAGGUGGUUUGUUAAGUCAGAUGUGAAAGCCCGGGGCUCAACCUCGGAACCGCAUUUGAAACUGGCAGGCUAGAGUACUGUAGAGGGGGGUAGAAUUUCAGGUGUAGCGGUGAAAUGCGUAGAGAUCUGAAGGAAUACCGGUGGCGAANGCGGCCCCCUGGACAGAUACUGACACUCAGAUGCGAAAGCGUGGGGAGCAAACAGGAUUAGAUACCCUGGUAGUCCACGCCGUAAACGAUGUCUACUUGGAGGUUGUGGCCUUGAGCCGUGGCUUUCGGA
This 794-nucleotide ribosomal RNA is filed under the name Vibrio sp. 11.5.052CS8. Its description in RNAcentral is "bacterial SSU rRNA". It matches the Rfam family "Bacterial small subunit ribosomal RNA", at positions 71 to 850 of the family's 1533-position model. Lineage: Bacteria; Pseudomonadati; Pseudomonadota; Gammaproteobacteria; Vibrionales; Vibrionaceae. The record is from RNAcentral.